RNAcentral lists this unclassified non-coding RNA (570 nucleotides) under Hevea brasiliensis (rubber tree). The record is from RNAcentral. Lineage: Eukaryota; Viridiplantae; Streptophyta; Magnoliopsida; Malpighiales; Euphorbiaceae.
GAUUUGACCUAUAAAACCAAAAUCGUUAAUGAAAUGAGACAAAUAACCAAGAAGGCAAAAUGCACGUUGAAGGGUUAAUACGAGUUAAUACUCUAAGGAACCUUUUGAGUGAACAGAAACAAGGGAUAUACAUUUGAUAGUGGAGUAUGUUGGAUUAGCAGAAAUUUUGUAGUGCUUGAAAGGAAAUAUAAAAUGUACGAUGGAAAUUGACAAGGAAAUCUCAUAUGCCCAAAAUUACUCUUAACUAGUUAAUCAUUGACAUAGACUAAAAUUCAAUUACUCUAGUAUGGGCAUAAAAUUCUUCUAGCAUGGACUUGGUAACUAAAAUAGAAAAUGAACCAACAUGCUCCAGUGGUCAAUCUCAACAAGUAGUUUAUUCUUUCUUUUAUCAACCCUGAAUUCCCUGCUUCAAUUAUUGUCAUUUUUUUGUUACUUGGUAGAAAGCUGUGAAGGAGUCUCUUGUACUAAUUCAUUUCAAGUUAAUUAAGUAUUGAAAUGUUAUUUGUUCCGCAAACAUCUCAUGUAUAUGAAAGGCAUCUUCUUUCUUUGAACAGAUUCAGUAUCAUUCAU